AUACCUUUCUCGGCCUUUUGGCUAAGAUCAAGUGUAGUAUCUGUUCUUAUCAGUUUAAUAUCUGAUAUGUGAGCCACUGGCUCACACGAUAUUAAAUUAAUUUUUUUAAGGGGGAAGAUCCAUUAAGGCAGCUUGCUGUCUGGGCUUUCGUGCGUCGCCUAUGUGUUGCACUACUGCAUGGGCCUGGCACACCCCAC
RNAcentral lists this small nuclear RNA (197 nucleotides) under Erythranthe guttata (spotted monkey flower). Its description in RNAcentral is "Mimulus guttatus (spotted monkey flower) U2 spliceosomal RNA". It matches the Rfam family "U2 spliceosomal RNA". From Rfam's summary of the family: U2 is a small nuclear RNA (snRNA) component of the spliceosome (involved in pre-mRNA splicing). Lineage: Eukaryota; Viridiplantae; Streptophyta; Magnoliopsida; Lamiales; Phrymaceae. The record is from Rfam by way of RNAcentral.